AUGAAGAAAAUACCCUACCGGAUCUACACAAGGACAAGAACUAACAAGCAGUUUUCACUUUCUCGACAUGGGCGCAGGGGUGAUCGUCACGGACUACCGCACCCGAUGGGCAUCGUGCUCUUCAACAAUUCAGAGACGGACUUCACCAUGAAGCCCGGUGACUGUGUCACACAGAUGAUUGUCCAGGUGAUUGUGACACUGGAGGUCGACGAGGUGGAGGACCUUGGCGCCACCGUAAGGAGGUUGCCGAGGUGGAGGACCUCGAUGCCACCGUCUGGAGGAUGCUGA
Molecule: ribosomal RNA, 288 nt
Filed under: Triticum aestivum (bread wheat)
Lineage: Eukaryota; Viridiplantae; Streptophyta; Magnoliopsida; Poales; Poaceae
Description: partial small subunit ribosomal RNA
Source: RNAcentral